AUUGAACGCUGGCGGCAGGCCUAACACAUGCAAGUCGAACGGUAACAGGAAGCAGCUUGCUGCUUUGCUGACGAGUGGCGGACGGUUGAGUAAUGUCUGGGAAACUGCCCGAGGGAGGGGGAUAACUACUGGAAACGGUAGCUAAUACCGCGUAACGUCGCAAGACCAAAGAGGGGGACCUUAUGGCCUCUUGCCAUCGGAUGUGCCCAGAUGGGAUUAGCUAGUAGGUGGGGUAACGGCUCACCUAGGCGACGAUCCCUAGCUGGUCUGAGAGGAUGACCAGCCACACUGGAACUGAGACACGGUCCAGACUCCUACGGAAGGCAGCAGUGGGGAAUAUUGGACAAUGGGCGCAAGCCUGAUGCAGCAAUGCCGCGUGUAUGAAGAAGGCCUUCGGGUUGUAAAGUACUUUCAGCGGGGAGGAAGGGAGUAAAGUUAAUACCUUUGCUCAUUGACGUUACCCGAAGAAGAAGCACCGGCUAACUACGUG
This 490-nucleotide ribosomal RNA is filed under the name uncultured bacterium. Its description in RNAcentral is "partial 16S ribosomal RNA". It matches the Rfam family "Bacterial small subunit ribosomal RNA", at positions 30 to 507 of the family's 1533-position model. The record is from RNAcentral.